UGGAUCCAGACUUUGAUUAUGGCUCAGGAUGAACGCCAGCUACAGGCUUAACACAUGCAAGUCGAGGGGAAACGAUAUUGGAAGCUUGCUUCCGAUAGGCGUCGACCGGCGCACGGGUGAGUAACGCGUAUCCAACCUGCCCAUCACUUGGGGAUAACCUUGCGAAAGUAAGACUAAUACCCAAUGACGUCUCUAGAAGACAUCUGAAAGAGAUUAAAGAUUUAUCGGUGAUGGAUGGGGAUGCGUCUGAUUAGCUUGUUGGCGGGGUAACGGCCCACCAAGGCAACGAUCAGUAGGGGUUCUGAGAGGAAGGUCCCCCACAUUGGAACUGAGACACGGUCCAAACUCCUACGGGAGGCAGCAGUGAGGAAUAUUGGUCAAUGGACGAGAGUCUGAACCAGCCAAGUAGCGUGCAGGAUGACGGCCCUAUGGGUUGUAAACUGCUUUUAUAAGGGAAUAAAGUGAGUCUCGUGAGACUUUUUGCAUGUACCUUAUGAAUAAGGACCGGCUAAUUCCGUGCCAGCAGCCGCGGUAAUACGGAAGGUCCGGGCGUUAUCCGGAUUUAUUGGGUUUAAAGGGAGCGUAGGCCGGAGAUUAAGCGUGUUGUGAAAUGUAGGCGCUCAACGUCUGCACUGCAGCGCGAACUGCCCCACUUGAGUGCGCGCAACGCCGGCGGAACUCGUCGUGUAGCGGUGAAAUGCUUAGAUAUCACGAAGAACUCCGAUUGCGAAGGCAGCUCACUGGAGCGCAACUGACGCUGAAGCUCGAAAGUGCGGGUAUCGAACAGGAUUAGAUACCCUGGUAGUCCGCACGGUAAACGAUGGAUGCCCGCUGUUGGUCUGAAUAGGUCAGCGGCCAAGCGAAAGCAUUAAGCAUCCCACCUGGGGAGUACGCCGGCAACGGUGCAACUCAAAGGAAUUGACGGA
Molecule: ribosomal RNA, 926 nt
Filed under: uncultured Bacteroidota bacterium
Lineage: Bacteria; Pseudomonadati; Bacteroidota
Description: bacterial SSU rRNA
Rfam family: Bacterial small subunit ribosomal RNA
Source: RNAcentral